UACAAGUUAUGGUCUUUAAAUUUAAAUAAUUUGGCGGUAAAUUAAUUUAACUAGAGGAAUUUGUUUAGUAAUAGAUAAUACACAAUUUAUCUUUCUUUAUUUAUUAGAGAAUAAUAAUUUAUAUAUCGUCGUUUAGAAUAUUUUUAUAGAAUUAAUUUUCUUAUUAUUAUUUUUAAUUUAAAAUCAGAUCAAGAUGUAGUUUAUAGUAAAGAAUAAAAAUGAGUUACAUUUUUAUUAAAAAAUUAUGAAUAUUUUUUUGUAAUUAAAAUUUUGAAGGGGGAUUUAGAAGUAAUAAGGUAUUAAUAUGAUUUUAUGAAUAAUAUUACACUAAUUUAUGU
RNAcentral lists this ribosomal RNA (338 nucleotides) under Ammothea clausi. Its description in RNAcentral is "partial 12S ribosomal RNA". The record is from RNAcentral. Lineage: Eukaryota; Metazoa; Arthropoda; Pycnogonida; Pantopoda; Ammotheidae.